Molecule: ribosomal RNA, 259 nt
Filed under: uncultured Staphylococcus sp.
Lineage: Bacteria; Bacillati; Bacillota; Bacilli; Caryophanales; Staphylococcaceae
Description: partial 16S ribosomal RNA
Rfam family: Bacterial small subunit ribosomal RNA
Source: RNAcentral
CGGGUGAGUAACACGUGGAUAACCUACCUAUAAGACUGGGAUAACUUCGGGAAACCGGAGCUAAUACCGGAUAAUAUAUUGAACCGCAUGGUUCAAUAGUGAAAGACGGUUUUGCUGUCACUUAUAGAUGGAUCCGCGCCGCAUUAGCUAGUUGGUAAGGUAACGGCUUACCAAGGCAGCGAUGCGUAGCCGACCUGAGAGGGUGAUCGGCCACACUGGAACUGAGACACGGUCCAGACUCCUACGGGAGGCAGCAGCG